RNA transcript from Populus euphratica (Euphrates poplar), 1471 nucleotides. It is a transcript of the gene named EID1-like F-box protein 2, with no coding region annotated. The transcript has 5 exons. NCBI's taxonomy places the organism in Eukaryota, Viridiplantae, Streptophyta, Magnoliopsida, Malpighiales, Salicaceae. The record is from RefSeq and is a predicted model, not a curated record.
AACUAUUUUCUUCUCCUGCGUGCAGCCUCAAGAAAGCCGUCUGCUCUAUUUGUCGCUCGCUCCAAUCUCUGCAUUUCCUUUACUCUCCAAAGUCCUCUCUCUGGACUGCGUUAUUUCUCACUUUGGACCGAAAUACGUCUCAAGGUGUUUAUGUGCGUGGUUUUUGAGGGUAUGAGAAGAGGACACUUGUUUUGCUGAGGUGGAGACAAUGAUUUUGACAAAGCAAUAUCGUUGCGUACACUCCUCCAGCUGUCAAUGCAUAAAAGGGCAUCUAAGUGAAGAUGUGAUUUUUUUAGUGUUUCAACAUCUGAACUGGAACCCUAAGUUGAUUGCUACUCUGUCGUGUGUAUGCAAAUGGUUUGAUGAUCUUGCCAAGCGAGUAUUGUGGAAGGCAUUUUGCCGAGCAAGGGCUCCAAAGAUGAUGCUUGAUCUGCAGUCCAGUGGAAGUCACAGCGUUGAUGGGAAUUGGAGGGCACUUGGGAAGCUGCUUAUUUACUGCUCAGGAUGUACCAGGGGUGGCCUGUUUAAUAAUGUUCACAUUCCUGGUCAUUUUGUUUAUAGGACUCGGUUUUCCAGGACGUCAGGGAAGAGCUUUCUUUUGCCACAGUGCAGGACAGAUGUAUUGUAUGUGUCUGACCCCUGUGAACAUCUUGACCAAGGGGAUGAAGGGGAUGUAGGAUUUUUCCGAGGAAUUUUUAAGUCAUUCGCAAUGUCAAAGGUCCGGACAAUGCUGAUUAAAAGGGGGGCCCAGCUCCACCCAACCGAGGUGUGUCCUUAUUGCAAAGCGAAGUUGUGGAGCAUGCAGCAAGCUGAAAUGAUUCCACAGAGUGCCAGCUGCAGACUGGGUGCCUAUGACGACUGCAUUGAAUAUUAUGUGUGCCUCAAGGGACAUGUUCUUGGAAUAUGCACUCUCUUACCAUUGUCUGAUUCCGAGGAGGUUUCUGAGCUGGAGUGAGUCAGAAUACAUGCAGUGUCUGUGGUUGUGCAGGCAUGGAAGAGCAUGCGUUUUCUGUUGAGAAAUUAGAUGCUACUGACUUGUGAGGCUUGGAUUGUUUCUUGUGGAGUGAGCAAAUGUGGAUGAGAAGGGAUAGGCUAAUCCUAUAUUGCCCUGAAGCUGUAACCAACCCUCACAAUUCUCUUCUAGACUUCAACGACAUUGCUUCCUGUUCUUGCUCAGGUCAGUUGUUUCAUAGAGAAGGGCUGGAGGCUGUUGCUGACGAGCUUAUCAUCUGUUACUUACUGUGAGCGUGUAAUACUGUGUGCUUUUUAUGUAUGCCGAUAUUUGUACUUUCAUGGCAGAUUGGUAAUUGCAAUAAUUCACAGACCCCUGUUGUCUAUGAUCGAUCAGUUGCUUUACCCUUAGAUUUUCUAUGAAAAUCUUGAUACAAAUUAGAAGGUUCAACCUCCUGUAUGCCCUCUGCGGAGGAUUAUAUUCUGCUUCCAUGGCAUAAUUUAUAUUGGUUCCAGUGAA